Molecule: long non-coding RNA, 436 nt
Organism: Ipomoea triloba (trilobed morning glory)
Lineage: Eukaryota; Viridiplantae; Streptophyta; Magnoliopsida; Solanales; Convolvulaceae
Exons: 3
Source: RefSeq, a predicted model, not a curated record
GGCGUUGCAGACUAUGGAAGCUAACGUAUAAACUAAGUUCAAAUCAGAAAACCGAAGUUUCACAAUUUCAUGUAAACUACUGGUAACUGGUGACUGGGGGGGAAAUACCUGUAACUGGUUUUUUGUUGUUAUGACAAUCUGCUCGUUUGCCAGUGAAGAAAUGGUGCCUGUCAAACAGCUGGAAUAUCACAUUUAUGCAUCCAAUCUGCUUGCGAAGAUCAUGGUGGGCUUCUUUCACCGAAGAUGGUAUCCCCGACGAAGACAUCUCUCUCCUCCCUUCUAACACGCUGACUGGUUAGAACGACAGAAUCUCGCAACUCCCAUUCGCUUCUCCAGGGCAGAAAAACGACGAAUACUUACAAUGGUGCAGACCAGAACAACGAGAAUAUAACAGGAAGAAGCUUCCUCGGCAGCCACUGAUAACGAAAAACCGAAC